UAUUGGUCAAUAGCCUAACGGCUGAACCAGCAAUUUGAAGGAAUAUAGGUUUAUAACGUUGUAGAACCUUUGUUCAGGAUACUAAAAUGAUAAUGACAAUUUAGUAUUUAUAGUCUUGACCAAAUCACGUGCCAGCAGUCGCGGUAAGACGUGAAAGACGAGUGUUAUUCAUCAUGAAUAGGUUUAAAGGGUACCUAGACGGUAAAUCUUGCCUUUUAAUGGGAACAGAUUUACUAGAGUUUUAUAUGAGAAGGGGAGAAUUAGAGGUGUAGAGAUGAAAUUUUUUGAUACCUCUAGGACUGGUAAUGGCGUAGGCAACCUUCUAAGUAAAAACUGACGUUGAGGGACGAAGGCUUUGGUAACGAACUGGAUUAGAUACCCGAGUAGUCUUAGCAGAAAAUGCUGAAUGCCAUUGGUUAGAGUAAGCAAUACGACUGGCCAAUAAAUGAAAGUGUAAGCAUUCCACCUCAAGAGUAAUACGGCAACGUAGAAACUGAAAUCAUUAGACCGUUUCUGAAACCAGUUGUGAAGCAUGUUAUUUAAUUCGAUGAUCCACGAAAAACCUUACCACAACUUGAAUGUAGAAGGUGUUAGGCCUAAUCCCUUACCCGGGAGUGUAUAGAUACUCUAGGCUGGAGCCGAAGAGUGGAAAUACCGAUACUGAGUUAGGGACCACUCCCCAAUAGGUUUUCUAUCCAAUACACAAGCGUUGCACGGCUGUCUUCAGUUAAUGUCGUGAGAUUUUGGUUAGCUCCAUUUAAUUGACGCAAACCCUUACUUUAUUUAAACCAUUAUAAAGUUGUAUGCAGAUACAAUUGAGUUGAUAAUAGGGACCAAGACAAGUCAUCAUGACCUAAAUGUUGUGGGCUAUA
Molecule: ribosomal RNA, 872 nt
Filed under: Pyronema domesticum
Lineage: Eukaryota; Fungi; Ascomycota; Pezizomycetes; Pezizales; Pyronemataceae
Description: mitochondrial SSU rRNA
Rfam family: Bacterial small subunit ribosomal RNA
Source: RNAcentral